AUCUGCCCAUUGCCAAGAGGAGGAGCUGCUCGCAGGAAAGGCAGGAGCUCAUUGCCCCAUUGCUGUGUUUAUUGAAGUUCAGCUUAAAUGCCUGUGUUAACUUUAAAUGUGCAUCUAUGGUACAGAUGAGCUAACAGAGGACAGCUGUUUGCUAAUCACUGUUAGCCUGUAAGGUGAAUGAGGGUUGUAAGGAUGCUGUGCAGGUGCAGAUCCAUCCUUGGUUCCAGGGCUCUUUUAAAGGCCUCUGGCUCUCUACCAGAAACAAAGUGUGAGUGCCUAUUGAAACAGUCCCUUGCAGUCAGGCAGAAUUUCUUCUCUGUGGGAGCAGCUGCUUUUGCUCAACUUAGGACUGCAAACAGGGAGAAGGAAACUUGAGGAAAUACCUGCUGGGGAACAAAGCCUGCUGUCUUUGC
Phasianus colchicus (ring-necked pheasant) is the source of this 413-nucleotide long non-coding RNA. Lineage: Eukaryota; Metazoa; Chordata; Aves; Galliformes; Phasianidae. The record is from Ensembl.